RNAcentral lists this transfer RNA (57 nucleotides) under Stenchaetothrips biformis. RNAcentral's name for it is "tRNA-Ser". The record is from RNAcentral. Lineage: Eukaryota; Metazoa; Arthropoda; Insecta; Thysanoptera; Thripidae.
AAGAUAAAUUAUUUAAGCUUCUAACUUAAAAAAAGUCAUCAACAAGACUAUAUCUUU